This 976-nucleotide ribosomal RNA is filed under the name uncultured bacterium. Its description in RNAcentral is "bacterial SSU rRNA". It matches the Rfam family "Bacterial small subunit ribosomal RNA", at positions 504 to 1483 of the family's 1533-position model. The record is from RNAcentral.
UGUGUCAGCAGCCGCGGUAAUACGGAGGGUGCAAGCGUUGUUCGGAUUUAUUGGGCGUAAAGCGCGUGUAGGCGGUUUCUUAAGUCUGAUGUGAAAGCCCCGGGCUCAACCCGGGAAGUGCAUUGGAAACUGGGAGACUUGAAUACGGGAGAGGGUAGUGGAAUUCCUAGUGUAGGAGUGAAAUCCGUAGAUAUUAGGAGGAACACCGGUGGCGAAGGCGGCUACCUGGACCGAUAUUGACGCUGAGACGCGAAAGCGUGGGGAGCAAACAGGAUUAGAUACCCUGGUAGUCCACGCCGUAAACGAUGAGAACUAGGUGUUGCGGGUAUUGACCCCUGCAGUGCCGCAGUUAACACAAUAAGUACUCCGCCUGGGAAGUACGAUCGCAAGAUUAAAACUCAAAGGAAUUGACGGGGGCCCGCACAAGCAGCGGAGCAUGUGGUUUAAUUCGAAGCAACGCGAAGAACCUUACCUGGACUUGACAUCCCCUGAAUUACUCGUAAUGGAGGAAGCCCUUCGGGGCAGGGAGACAGGUGGUGCAUGGUUGUCGUCAGCUCGUGUCGUGAGAUGUUAGGUUAAGUCCUGCAACGAGCGCAACCCUUAUCAUUAGUUGCUACCAUUAAGUUGAGCACUCUAGUGAGACUGCCCGGGUUAACCGGGAGGAAGGUGGGGAUGACGUCAAAUCAUCAUGCCCCUUAUGUCCAGGGCUACACACGUGCUACAAUGGUGAGUACAAUUAGAUGCAAACCCGCGAGGGGGAGCCAAACUAAAAAACUCAUCCCAGUUCGGAUUGUAGGCUGAAACUCGCCUACAUGAAGCUGGAGUUGCUAGUAAUCGCGAAUCAGAAUGUCGCGGUGAAUACGUUCCCGGGCCUUGUACACACCGCCCGUCACACCAUGAGAGCUGGCAACACCCGAAGUCCGUGAGGUAACCGUAAGGAGCCAGCGGCCGAAGGUGGGGUCAGUGAUUGGGGUGA